UCUCGGUGCUUGCCCGGGUGAUCAGUGGCGAACGGGUGAGUAACACGUGACUAACCUGCCCCCGACUCUGGGAUAACCCCGGGAAAUCGGAGCUAAUACCGGAUACGAGACGCACAGGCAUCUGCAGCGUCUGGAAAGAAUUUCGGUCGGGGAUGGAGUCGCGGCCUAUCAGCUAGUUGGUGAGGUAAUGGCCCACCAAGGCGACGACGGGUAGCCGGCCUGAGAGGGCGACCGGCCACACUGGGACUGAGACACGGCCCAGACUCCUACGGGAGGCAGCAGUGGGGAAUAUUGCACAAUGGGCGAAAGCCUGAUGCAGCGACGCCGCGUGGGGGAUGAAGGCCUUCGGGUUGUAAACCCCUUUCAGCAGGGAAGAAGCGAAAGUGACGGUACCUGCAGAAGAAGCGCCGGCUAACUACGUGCCAGCAGCCGCGGUAAUACGUAGGGCGCAAGCGUUGUCCGGAUUUAUUGGGCGUAAAGAGCUCGUAGGCGGUUUGUCGCGUCUGCUGUGAAAACCCGAGGCUCAACCUCGGGCCUGCAGUGGGUACGGGCAGACUAGAGUGCGGUAGGGGAGACCGGAAUUCCUGGUGUAGCGGUGGAAUGCGCAGAUAUCAGGAGGAACACCGAUGGCGAAGGCAGGUCUCUGGGCCGCAACUGACGCUGAGGAGCGAAAGCAUGGGGAGCGAACAGGA
RNAcentral lists this ribosomal RNA (692 nucleotides) under uncultured bacterium. RNAcentral's name for it is "bacterial SSU rRNA". It matches the Rfam family "Bacterial small subunit ribosomal RNA", at positions 72 to 777 of the family's 1533-position model. The record is from RNAcentral.